RNAcentral lists this long non-coding RNA (888 nucleotides) under Equus caballus (horse). Its description in RNAcentral is "lncRNA (ENSECAG00000050769.1)". Lineage: Eukaryota; Metazoa; Chordata; Mammalia; Perissodactyla; Equidae. The record is from RNAcentral.
CACAAAUACAGACAGACGAGGAGGCGACGAGACCACAGAGGCAGAUUGGAAUGAUGUGGCCAUGAACCAAGGGCUGCUGGUGGCCGCCAGGAGCUGGGAGAGACAAUCACGGUGCUGCCCCAACCAGACACACCUGGACAGGAUUCUGCUUGAAAGCCCCCAGCUUGUGGCCCGGGCUGCAGACGGGCUGACCCCAACAGGGCCCUCUGCGUGCUUCCACCUGUCACAGUGCCAUUCUGUGCAAAUCCUGGUUCCAGGAAGAGAGGGUCCUCCUGUGUGACACAGAACCCGGACGGGCCCAGCGGCAGCCCAGGAUUUCCGUCAGGAGCAUGUGCAGAGCUGGUCCUGCACAGAUGACUAGGGUGACAGCUUGCUUGGUGGAGUAGGCCUUCUGCAGAAGCUGUUUCCUUAGGAGCCUCAGCCUCUCUGAGAGAAGAGAAGGCCAGGCUGGACCACAGAGCCCAGGGGAGGCUGCUGAGGGACCGGAAGCAAUACCCAGGGUCCAGUGAGGCCAAUGCUGGGGGUCAAGUGAGGCUGAGGGCCAAGGUGGGGCCCGGAGUCCAGUGAGAUGGAGGAUCAGCCACCAGUGAGAGGAGGCGUCGUUUGCCCGCUGCUGAGUGUGGUGAAAGCCUGGCAGACGGGGGCCUCCGAUGGCCAAGUCACCCCUCACCACCUGCUGCUCCAAGAGCCCGGGGUCUUCAUCUGUCCAGGGUCACCCCGGCCCUGCAAUUCUCAGGGCUUUCUUUUGUCCAGCGAGGAUACAGGAGAGUAGGGCCUUGGUCUCUCAGACCAGGCUUGGGCCAUCCCUGGAGCCUUGGCCCUACUCUCACUCAGCUGUGUACCUCAUCAUCUCACAGAUUAGAGCCAGGAAAAGGAAACCAGUGAGAC